ACAUGCCUACAACGUAGCAUUAAUGCAUGGGAUCCCAUUAGAACUCUACAGUUAAGCAUGCUCACGCUAGAGUAGUACUGGGAUGGGUGAUCGCUCGAGAAUUCCUAGUGUUUUACAUGCC
This is a non-coding RNA of Picea glauca (white spruce), 121 nucleotides long. Lineage: Eukaryota; Viridiplantae; Streptophyta; Pinopsida; Pinales; Pinaceae. The record is from Rfam.